AUUAAUUAAUGUGUUUAAAUAGUUGAAUCAUUUCUGCCUGCUCUAAUACAUGAAGUGUCUGUGAGAUCACACACCCUCAAUGGGCGGAGUUUAGUGAUGAAAGUCCCCCUUUAAAAGUUCGAACAGUCUUUCUCUCCCUUCUCUCUUUCUCUGCCCUUCUCCCCCGCUCAGCACUCUACUUUCCCUCUCUCUUUUGCUUAACGCUUAAUUCUAUUUUGGGCCAAGAGCCAUUGCUAAACUACCACGUGGCAUUCUUUGAUUCUUUACCUUUGGGACAAACUCAAAGUUUAACCUGACGCUUUUAAGGUGCGUCAAGCUUUUGAAUUUUUAAGAGAACUUCCGAGCUGAGCUUUUCAAAUUAUUACAGAAAAAGCGACUUUUCCUUUUUCAUUCAAUUUUCAACGCUUUUACUAAAGUUUUACUUUUUCUAAAGUCACAAAGACUUUAAUUUGGCUCCAACCAUUUUUGAAAGCUACUAAGAACCAUUUUCAACAAACACCUUCCACCUCUGGGUCACUGCAAGCUGACAACUCCGCUGAUUCCACACCUGACUGCAGCAGCCGGCAAAACCAGCCGACACCAGCCCUGGGAUCACACCGGGGACACCUCUGAGUGAACCCCUCCGACCCAGGUGAGCUCACGCUGCCCGAUAUCGAUGGCGGACGGACGGAACCAGCCCUCCAACAGCAUCUAAUCGACCCAGUCCAGGCUCCAUGAAGGAGAUGACCUUUGGCAACAUCUCGACAUCAAAGUGGGCAGGCAUACCAAAAGUGCCACAGCUGAUGCCAUCCAGGAGGUGCAGAGGACAAUAUUGCCAGGUCCCAGGAUCCUCUAAGAUACUGGGACAACCACAAGACAGUAUAUCCAAACCUCUUCCAGCUGUCAUUACAAUUUCUCUGCACUCCAGCCUCAUCUGAGCCCUGUGUGCGGGUGUUUUCUAAAGCUGGAGAAGUUGCAUUACACAAGCGUAACAAACUCAAAUUCAAGACUUUGGAACAACUUCUUUUUCUGAAUGAAAAUUUGUAAAAAAAAAAAAUAAAAUCCCAGUCCACAAGCAUCCUCAUUCACAACACGUUCACUUAGAUUUUUCAUGUUAUGAUACAUGUUCACAUUAUUUAUUAUUAUUUAAGAUUUUAAUAUAAAUGAAGAUAUGAAAUGAUACAAAAUGAAUUACCAUUAACCUAGUAUAUACUAUUAUUGUAUAUACUAGGCCAUGAAAUCAGUGUCAGUUGAGUGUCAACUCAGGUGCCUGUAGGAAUUUUUAAGGUCCAGCAGAUGUCAGUAUUCAGUGACACAGCAUCGACACAGUAUCAAUACAGUUUGGCAAUGUGUUGAAACGCUUCAUGAUGCCUCAUCAAGGGCGUAGGUUUGGUCUCAGCUUUGGUAGGGACAAUACCACACACCCCACCCGGCCCCCCUGCUCACCACCAUCACCCCCUAACCCACUCAUACCAUUAGACGCACAGUACAGCAUAAUA
Molecule: RNA transcript, 1478 nt
Organism: Thalassophryne amazonica
Lineage: Eukaryota; Metazoa; Chordata; Actinopteri; Batrachoidiformes; Batrachoididae
Gene name: serine protease 33-like
Exons: 2
Source: RefSeq, a predicted model, not a curated record